This 30-nucleotide non-coding RNA is filed under the name Rattus norvegicus (Norway rat). Lineage: Eukaryota; Metazoa; Chordata; Mammalia; Rodentia; Muridae. The record is from RNAcentral.
UUCCAGGGGCUCUAAGUCCAGUGACAUGGU